AUACGUAGGGGGCUAGCGUUGUCCGGAAUCACUGGGCGUAAAGGGCGUGUAGGCGGUCCGCUAAGUCUGAUGUGAAAGCCCGGGGCUCACCCCCGGAAGUGCAUUGGAAACUGACGGACUCGAGUCCCGGAGAGGAGGGUGGAAUUCCUAGUGCAGCGGUGAAAUGCGUAGAUAUCAGGAGGAACACCGGUGGCGAAGGCGGCCCUCUGGACGGUGACUGACGCUGAGACGCGAAAGCGUGGGGAGCAAACAG
RNAcentral lists this ribosomal RNA (253 nucleotides) under uncultured prokaryote. Its description in RNAcentral is "partial 16S ribosomal RNA". It matches the Rfam family "Bacterial small subunit ribosomal RNA", at positions 523 to 775 of the family's 1533-position model. The record is from RNAcentral.